CAAUAAGCGGAGGAAAAGAAACUAACAAGGAUUCCCCUAGUAACGGCGAGUGAAGCGGGAAGAGCUCAAAUUUGAAAUCUGGCAGUCUUCGAUUGUCCGAGUUGUAAUCUAUAGAGGCGUUUUCCGUGCCGGACCGUGUCCAAGUCUCCUGGAAAGGAGUAUCAAAGAGGGUGAUAAUCCCGUACUUAACACGACCACCGGUGCUCUGUGAUACGUCUUCUACGAGUCGAGUUGUUUGGGAAUGCAGCUCAAAAUGGGUGGUGAAUUCCAUCUAAAGCUAAAUAUUGGCGAGAGACCGAUUGCGAACAAGUACCGUGAGGGAAAGAUGAAAAGCACUUUGGAAAGAGAGUUAAACAGUACGUGAAAUUGUUGAAAGGGAAACGAUUGAAGUCAGUCGUGUUCUUUGGAUUCAGCCAGUUCUGCUGGUCUACUUCCUUGGAACGGGUCAACAUCAGUUUUGUCCGGUGGAUAAAGGUAGUAGGAAUGUGACUUCUCCGGAAGUGUUAUAGCCUAUUAUCACAUACACUGGGUGAGACUGAGGACUGCAGCUCGCCUUUAUGGCCGGCCUUCGGGCACGUUCGAGCUUA
This 587-nucleotide ribosomal RNA is filed under the name Trichosporon asahii. RNAcentral describes it as "LSU rRNA". It matches the Rfam family "Eukaryotic large subunit ribosomal RNA", at positions 44 to 609 of the family's 3401-position model. The record is from RNAcentral. Lineage: Eukaryota; Fungi; Basidiomycota; Tremellomycetes; Trichosporonales; Trichosporonaceae.